This 129-nucleotide small RNA is filed under the name Marmota monax (woodchuck). Lineage: Eukaryota; Metazoa; Chordata; Mammalia; Rodentia; Sciuridae. The record is from RNAcentral.
GCAAGGCAUGGAGGUGCAUGCCUGUAAUCCUAGUCACUUGGGAGGCUGAGGCAGGAGGAUUACAAAUUUCAGGCCAGCUUUGGAAACUGAGCGAGACCCCCAGCAUUUUAGUACGAGACCCUGUCUUAC